RNAcentral lists this ribosomal RNA (492 nucleotides) under uncultured bacterium. RNAcentral describes it as "partial 16S ribosomal RNA". It matches the Rfam family "Bacterial small subunit ribosomal RNA", at positions 28 to 507 of the family's 1533-position model. The record is from RNAcentral.
GAUGAACGCUAGCUACAGGCUUAACACAUGCAAGUCGAGGGGAAACGACAUCGAAAGCUUGCUUUUGAUGGGCGUCGACCGGCGCACGGGUGAGUAACGCGUAUCCAACCUGCCCAUCACUUGGGGAUAACCUUGCGAAAGUAAGACUAAUACCCAAUGAUAUCUCUAGAAGACAUCUGAAAGAGAUUAAAGAUUUAUCGGUGAUGGAUGGGGAUGCGUCUGAUUAGCUUGUUGGCGGGGUAACGGCCCACCAAGGCAACGAUCAGUAGGGGUCCUGAGAGGAAGGUCCCCCACAUUGGAACUGAGACACGGUCCAAACUCCUACGGGAGGCAGCAGUGAGGAAUAUUGGGCAAUGGGCGAGAGCCUGAACCAGCCAAGUAGCGUGCAGGAAGACGGCCCUAUGGGUUGUAAACUGCUUUUAUAAGGGAAUAAAGUGAGAGUCGUGACUCUUUUUGUAUGUACCUUAUGAAUAAGGACCGGCUAAUUCCGUG